RNAcentral lists this ribosomal RNA (448 nucleotides) under uncultured bacterium. RNAcentral's name for it is "bacterial SSU rRNA". It matches the Rfam family "Bacterial small subunit ribosomal RNA", at positions 355 to 825 of the family's 1533-position model. The record is from RNAcentral.
UGGGGAAUAUUGGACAAUGGGCGAAAGCCUGAUCCAGCCAUGCCGCGUGAGUGACGAAGGCCUUAGGGUUGUAAAACUCCUUUCGUCGGGGACGAUAAUGACGGUACCCGAAGAAGAAGCUCCGGCUAACUUCGUGCCAGCAGCCGCGGUAAUACGAAGGGAGCUAGCGUUGUUCGGAAUCACUGGGCGUAAAGCGCACGUAGGCGGAUAGUUAAGUCAGGGGUGAAAUCCUGGGGCUCAACCCCAGAACUGCCUUUGAUACUGGCUGUCUCGAGGUCGAGAGAGGUUGGUGGAAUUCCUAGUGUAGAGGUGAAAUUCGUAGAUAUUAGGAAGAACACCAGUGGCGAAGGCGGCCAACUGGCUCGAUACUGACGCUGAGGUGCGAAAGCGUGGGGAGCAAACAGGAUUAGAUACCCAGGUAGUCCCUGAGCGGGCUGGCAAGGCGCAU